CAACACUCAAGCCCCUGCUUGGCGUUGGGGUACUACGGCUCUCCGGAGCCAGUAGGCCCUCAAAAUCAGUGGCGGGACCGCUGGGGACCCGGGCGAAGUAAUGCUUACAGCGCCAAGGGACACCUAGCCGGCCUCAUGCCGUAAAACUACCAAUUUUUUACAG
Molecule: unclassified non-coding RNA, 163 nt
Filed under: uncultured Ascomycota
Lineage: Eukaryota; Fungi; Ascomycota
Description: sequence contains ITS2
Source: RNAcentral